This 66-nucleotide transfer RNA is filed under the name Dacrila fallax. RNAcentral describes it as "tRNA-Arg". The record is from RNAcentral. Lineage: Eukaryota; Metazoa; Arthropoda; Insecta; Coleoptera; Staphylinidae.
AAAUAAGAAACAAAACUUUGUAUUUAGUUUCGACCUAAAAUUCUGAUGUUAAAUCAUCCUUAUUUU